RNAcentral lists this ribosomal RNA (397 nucleotides) under uncultured bacterium. RNAcentral describes it as "partial 16S ribosomal RNA". It matches the Rfam family "Bacterial small subunit ribosomal RNA", at positions 523 to 918 of the family's 1533-position model. The record is from RNAcentral.
AUACGUAGGGGGCGAGCGUUGUCCGGAAUGAUUGGGCGUAAAGGGCGCGUAGGCGGCCCGGUAAGUCUGGAGUGAAAGUCCUGUUUUUAAGAUGGGAAUUGCUUUGGAUACUGUCGGGCUUGAGUGCAGGAGAGGUAAGUGGAAUUCCCAGUGUAGCGGUGAAAUGCGUAGAGAUUGGGGGGAACACCAGUGGCGAAGGCGACUUACUGGACUGUAACUGACGCUGAGGCGCGAAAGUGUGGGGAGCAAACAGGAUUAGAUACCCUGGUAGUCCACACUGUAAACGAUGAAUGCUAGGUGUAGGGGGUAUCGACCCCUUCUGUGCCGCAGUCAACACAAUAAGCAUUCCGCCUGGGGAGUACGGCCGCAAGGUUGAAACUCAAAUGAAUUGACGGGG